Homo sapiens (human) is the source of this 401-nucleotide long non-coding RNA. Ensembl annotates it as GPC5 antisense RNA 2. Its record names the gene GPC5-AS2. Lineage: Eukaryota; Metazoa; Chordata; Mammalia; Primates; Hominidae. The record is from Ensembl.
AAAUUCUUAAAGUACUUGAAAAUCCAAGACUAUUUUCAUUUUGUAACUAUUUUCAAAUGUAUUUAACAUUUAGGUUCAAAGCCAGGAGCAGUGGCAAAGCACCUGUUGUCCCAGCUACUUGAGAGGCUGGAGCUGGAAGAUCACUUAAGGCCAAGAGUUCAAGACCAGCCCGGAUGACAUAGAGAGAUUCCCAUCUUUUUUAAAAAAGUACAGAUACCCUGCAUAUUUUUGGCCUCAUAUGAAGAAAGAAAUGUUUUUGAAAGUUUACGUGUGUGCAUUUAUCAUCAUAAAUACAUUUAAUUCAUUGUAAAGACAUAGCAAGAUAAUCAGCUGUCUGAUAAUUAUAAGGUGUUGAUUAGAAAAUAGGUACUUACUUUAAAUAAAAUUGUUAUAUUAAACUA